Molecule: unclassified non-coding RNA, 278 nt
Filed under: Hevea brasiliensis (rubber tree)
Lineage: Eukaryota; Viridiplantae; Streptophyta; Magnoliopsida; Malpighiales; Euphorbiaceae
Source: RNAcentral
GUUUCACGAGUGUGAAGCAUUAUUAUUCUAUAGAAGUCGUAUAAAAUGUCACGUCGCUGGGCUCAGGAAAAUAAUGGAAUAAAAAGGACCUGCCUUGUCUGUUUCCUCUCUUUCUUUCUUUCUUUCUGAUUAAAGUAGAGAGAAGAGAACCAAACGGACGGGAGGAGGAAAUGGGUGUGGGUGAGGUUGAUGAAUGGUGAUAAGGCUGUGGGGGAAUGUAAUAAAUAAUGAACUAAAUUUGUGUCUCGUCCUUUGGUUUACUUAGUACCAUAAUUCAG